RNAcentral lists this ribosomal RNA (301 nucleotides) under uncultured bacterium. Its description in RNAcentral is "partial 16S ribosomal RNA". It matches the Rfam family "Bacterial small subunit ribosomal RNA", at positions 509 to 807 of the family's 1533-position model. The record is from RNAcentral.
CAGUCGCCACGGUAAUACGUAGGGUGCAAGCGUUAAUCGGAAUUACUGGGCGUAAAGCGUGCGCAGGCGGUUAUAUAAGACAGAUGUGAAAUCCCCGGGCUCAACCUGGGAACUGCAUUUGUGACUGUAUAGCUAGAGUACGGCAGAGGGGGGUGGAAUUCCGCGUGUAGCAGUGAAAUGCGUAGAUAUGCGGAGGAACACCGAUGGCGAAGGCAGCCCCCUGGGCCAAUACUGACGCUCAUGCACGAAAGCGUGGGGAGCAAACAGGAUUAGAUACCCCAGUAGUCCCUGUCUCUUAUAC